UUUAAGAAUUCGACUUGAAGACUUCAACUUGCAGACUUGAAGAAUUUAAAGACUUCAACUUGCAGAAUUAAAGACUUUGAAGACUUUAAUU
Molecule: microRNA precursor, 91 nt
Filed under: Solanum tuberosum (potato)
Lineage: Eukaryota; Viridiplantae; Streptophyta; Magnoliopsida; Solanales; Solanaceae
Description: MIR8024 microRNA precursor family
Rfam family: MIR8024 microRNA precursor family
Source: Rfam by way of RNAcentral